GAUUGUCCAGAGUGUUCAUAUAAGGAGUGCCCAGAUAAUUUGUGUGGUGAUACAUGUGUAGAGCAGUGUGAUUGUUCCAAAAAUGCAUACUGUGAUAGACUUCAUUGUUGUGUUUGCAAACCCGGUUUCUAUGGAUUUUUAUGUAAUAAAAGUAUGUUUUGAAGAUUAAUAUUGGUUUUUUAAGUUUAAAGUUCUCAUUAGGAUGAAACAUACAGUAAACAGAAAAUCUAAAAUACAAGUAUCGAAUGGUUUUGCAUAAGUUUUAACCAUCUUAUUAUAAGUGUUUUACUUUUUAAUUAUCAUUGAAAGAAAAUAAGACUUAACAAUAUUUGUUUCCCAAGGUACAUACACGAGACUAUGAAACUGAAUUUAAGUAAAUGUUUAAAAAGGCCCUAGUAUGCGACAAAUUUGAUGGCAAUUGACCAUACUAUUCAGAAAUUUUACAUUGAAGCACUUAAAAAGGGUCCAGUUUUUAUAAGUGCUAUCUUUUACUUAACAAUUUUGGCAGGAGACCAUAAUAACUUGAUAUAGUCAUAACAUAUAUUUGAAAAGAUAAUAAGUACUUUGAUGAAUUUAUUUUGAAUUUAAUUUAGCAUGUUUUACUGGGUUUUAUGGUCCUGGAUGUAGACAAAAGUGCAUGUGCCAAAGCCAGCAGAUGUGCG
This 662-nucleotide long non-coding RNA is filed under the name Mytilus galloprovincialis (Mediterranean mussel). Lineage: Eukaryota; Metazoa; Mollusca; Bivalvia; Mytilida; Mytilidae. The record is from RNAcentral.